CAUCACUUGUUUCAUACACAUUAUUAUUAUUAUUAUUUCUUAUCUUAAUAAACUGUCUUUAUCUGAACCCACAGGCUUCACUUUCCCGUUUCUCUCCCCCAUCCCAGAGAGGGAGGGGGUAGGGGGAGCGAACGGCUGCGUGGUGUUUAGCUUCCGGCUGGGUUAAACCACAACACUCAUAAAGUGGUAU
This is a long non-coding RNA of Oxyura jamaicensis (ruddy duck), 190 nucleotides long. RefSeq lists it as uncharacterized. Lineage: Eukaryota; Metazoa; Chordata; Aves; Anseriformes; Anatidae. The record is from RefSeq and is a predicted model, not a curated record. The transcript has 3 exons.